AUGUCCCAUCAAGCUAGCAUCUAUCCAAAUAUUUCAGUCUGGCCAGGAGGCUUCGUGCCGAAGCCCAACACCGCCAAUGAGAAUGGACACCACCAGGGGUUCAUUUCACAGGAACCGUUUUACUGUAUUGUCCUCGUCAUUUGGGUGAUUGCGGCACUUUGGCCACCGGGACGUCGUGCUGCGCGAGAAGAAGCUCAGGGGGGCCGUGCCCAGGGAGAUGGGCGUCGUCGACGUCGUCUGCCCCGGCGCGCCCGAGACCGCCGCCGAGGCUCUCAAGCUCGCCGAGUAGCUGGCCGCCAGGAAGUGGGACGGCGCGUGUACGCGUCGAUUAGGAUGUCCAUGUUCCCUGAUGCGUGCAGGGCCGUUGGGAUUGCCGUGGAGAGUGACGAGGAGAAGAGCAGGCACUUCGCCUCCAGGCUCUGA
Molecule: ribosomal RNA, 423 nt
Filed under: Triticum aestivum (bread wheat)
Lineage: Eukaryota; Viridiplantae; Streptophyta; Magnoliopsida; Poales; Poaceae
Description: partial small subunit ribosomal RNA
Source: RNAcentral